ACUGGAACAGGCAAAGAAGCCCCAGGAAGCAGUCUUCAUCCCAGAAUGCAAUGAGGAUGGAUCAUUCACGCAGGUGCAGUGCCAUACCUACACUGGAUACUGCUGGUGUGUGACACCUGAUGGCAAGCCUAUUAGCGGCUCUUCUGUACAGAACAAAACUCCUGUAUGUUCAGGUUCUGUAACAGAUAAACCAUCAAGCCAGGGUAAUUCAGGAAGGAAAGG
Apaloderma vittatum (bar-tailed trogon) is the source of this 222-nucleotide long non-coding RNA. RefSeq lists it as uncharacterized. NCBI's taxonomy places the organism in Eukaryota, Metazoa, Chordata, Aves, Trogoniformes, Trogonidae. The record is from RefSeq and is a predicted model, not a curated record. The transcript has 3 exons.